GCAACACAAAGUGAAACUGCGAAUGGCUCAUUAUAUAAGUUAUCGUUUAUUUGAUAUUGCCUAUCCUACAUGGAUAACAGUGGUAAUUCUAGAGCUAAUACAUGCUGAAAAUCCCGACUUCGGAAGGGACGUAUUUAUUAGAAUCAGAACCAAUGCCCUUCGGGGUUUUCUGGUGACUCAUGAUAACUCCACAGAUCGCAUGGCCUUGCGCCGGCGAUGGCUCAUUCAAAUUUCUUCCCUAUCAACUUUCGACGGUACGGUCUUGGCCUACCGUGGUUGUAACGGGUGACGGAGGGUUAGGGCUCGACCCCGGAGAAGGAGCCUGAGAAACGGCUACUACAUCCAAGGAAGGCAGCAGGCGCGCAAAUUAUCCAAUCCCGACUCGGGGAGAUAGUGACAAUAAAUACCGAUACAGGGCUCUUUUGGGCCCUGUAAUUGGAAUGAGUACAAUUUAAACCUCUUAACGAGGAACAAUUGGAGGGCAAGUCUGGUGCCAGCAGCCGCGGUAAUUCCAGCUCCAAUAGCGUAUAUUAAAGUUGUUGUGGUUAAAAAGCUCGUAGUCGAACCUCGAGCCUGGCCGGCCGGUCCGCCUCACCGCGUGCACUGGUCUGGCCGGGCUCUUCCCUCUGCGGAACCGCAUGUCCUUCACUGGGCGUGUCGGGGAGGCAGGACUUUUACUUUGAAAAAAUUAGAGUGCUCAAGGCAGGCCAAUGCUCGAAUACAUUAGCAUGGAAUAAUAGAAUAGGACGUUGGUUCUAUUUUGUUGGUUUCUAGGACCGCCGUAAUGAUCAAUAGGGACGGUCGGGGGCAUCAGUAUUCAGCCGUCAGAGGUGAAAUUCUUGGACCGGCUGAAGACUAACUACUGCGAAAGCAUUUGCCAAGGACGUUUUCGCUGAUCAGGAACGAAAGUUAGGGGAUCGAAGACGAUCAGAUACCGUCGUAGUCUUAACCAUAAACUAUGCCGACUAGGGAUCGGGCGGCGUUCUUUCUAGACCCGCUCGGCACCUUUCGAGAAAUCAAAGUGC
This 1025-nucleotide ribosomal RNA is filed under the name Pleurotheciella krabiensis. RNAcentral describes it as "SSU rRNA". It matches the Rfam family "Eukaryotic small subunit ribosomal RNA", at positions 71 to 1106 of the family's 1831-position model. RNAcentral also lists the same sequence under 1 other name. Lineage: Eukaryota; Fungi; Ascomycota; Sordariomycetes; Pleurotheciales; Pleurotheciaceae. The record is from RNAcentral.